Molecule: non-coding RNA, 66 nt
Organism: Phrynosoma platyrhinos (Desert horned lizard)
Lineage: Eukaryota; Metazoa; Chordata; Lepidosauria; Squamata; Phrynosomatidae
Source: the annotation of a GenBank genome assembly
GAGCAUGGUGCAGUGGUUUAAACGUUGGGCUAGGACUCUGGAGACCAGGGUUCAAGUCCCUGCUCA